Long non-coding RNA from Cydia amplana, 204 nucleotides. RefSeq lists it as uncharacterized. NCBI's taxonomy places the organism in Eukaryota, Metazoa, Arthropoda, Insecta, Lepidoptera, Tortricidae. The record is from RefSeq and is a predicted model, not a curated record. The transcript is spliced from 2 exons.
CAUUUAUUUGUGUGAUGAGCACAGAUAUUUGUUCCUGAGUCAUGGUCCUUAUUUAUCCCCCUUAUUCAUAAAACUUUACGAGCCUGAAUUAGUUUAAUGAUGUUUUAUCCCUUUCUUACAAAUACAUAAGUCAAAGUGACAGAUAAAGACAAACGAUUCAUAGCUAAUUCAGGCUUGUAAUGCGUUGAUGAAUAACGCCAUAAG